AGAUUUGUGGAAGCUCUGAUUCAGCUGUGGGGCCACAAGAGGCAGGACUCAGUGACCGUCUCCACCAUGGCCUGGUCCCCUCUCCUCGUCACCCUCAUCGCUCACUGCACAGGAUCCUGGGCCCAGUCUGUGCUGACUCAGCCGCCCUCAGUGUCUAGAGCCCCAGGACAGAGUGUCACCAUCUCCUGUGCUGGAAGCAGCUCCAACAUCGGGGGUAACAGUGUGCAGUGGUACCAGCAGCUCCCAGGAAAGGCCCCCAAACUCCUCAUCUAUGGUGAUGAUGAAAGACCCUCGGGGGUCUCCAACCGAUUCUCUGGCUCCAAGUCUGGCAACUCGGCCUCCCUGACCAUCAGUGGGCUCCAGGCUGAGGACGAGGCCGAUUAUUACUGCGAGUCCUAUGAUGACAGUCUGAGUGGUCGCACAGUGCUCCAGGCCUGUGGGGAAGUGAGACAAAAACCUACUGUCCCAUCUACAUGGGGCUUCCCUCAGCAGCCCUCACUCCUCUGA
Hipposideros armiger (great roundleaf bat) is the source of this 507-nucleotide non-coding RNA. NCBI's taxonomy places the organism in Eukaryota, Metazoa, Chordata, Mammalia, Chiroptera, Hipposideridae. The record is from the annotation of a RefSeq genome assembly.